AUGAACGCUGGCGGCGUGCCUAAUACAUGCAAGUCGAGCGAACAGACGAGGAGCUUGCUCCUCUGACGUUAGCGGCGGACGGGUGAGUAACACGUGGAUAACCUACCUAUAAGACUGGGAUAACUUCGGGAAACCGGAGCUAAUACCGGAUAAUAUAUUGAACCGCAUGGUUCAAUAGUGAAGGACGGUUUUGCUGUCACUUAUAGAUGGAUCCGCGCCGCAUUAGCUAGUUGGUAAGGUAACGGCUUACCAAGGCAACGAUGCGUAGCCGACCUGAGAGGGUGAUCGGCCACACUGGAACUGAGACACGGUCCAGACUCCUACGGGAGGCAGCAGUGGGGAAUCUUCCGCAAUGGGCGAAAGCCUGACGGAGCAACGCCGCGUGAGUGAUGAAGGUCUUCGGAUCGUAAAACUCUGUUAUUAGGGAAGAACAAAUGUGUAAGUAACUAUGCACGUCUUGACGGUACCUAAUCAGAAAGCCACGGCUAACUACGUG
RNAcentral lists this ribosomal RNA (496 nucleotides) under uncultured bacterium. RNAcentral's name for it is "partial 16S ribosomal RNA". It matches the Rfam family "Bacterial small subunit ribosomal RNA", at positions 29 to 507 of the family's 1533-position model. The record is from RNAcentral.